RNAcentral lists this ribosomal RNA (231 nucleotides) under uncultured Saccharomycetes. RNAcentral's name for it is "partial 26S ribosomal RNA". It matches the Rfam family "Eukaryotic large subunit ribosomal RNA", at positions 37 to 282 of the family's 3401-position model. Lineage: Eukaryota; Fungi; Ascomycota; Saccharomycetes. The record is from RNAcentral.
UGCAUAUCAAUAAGCGGAGGAAAAGAAACCAACAGGGAUUGCCUUAGUAACGGCGAGUGAAGCGGCAAAAGCUCAAAUUUGAAAUCGGCCUCCAGGUCGAGUUGUAAUUUGUAGAUUGUAUCUUGAGAGCGGAUUAAAGUCUGUUGGAACACAGCGCCUUAGAGGGUGACAGCCCCGUAAAAUCUAUUCUCAUUGUAAGAUACUUUCGAAGAGUCGAGUUGUUUGGGAAUA